UGCUGACGGCACAGCCAAAGCUGGCAUUGGUGUUGAGUGCACCACCAAAGCCAGCACUGGUGCUGGGAGAGCCACCAAAACAGACGCUGGUGCUUAGUGUACCACCAAAGUCAGUGUUGGUGCUGACAGCACCACCAUAACCAGCAUUGGUGUUGAGUGCACUGCCAAAGCUGACACUGGUGCCAGGAGAGCCACCAAAGCAGACACUGGUGCUUAGUGUACCGCCAAAGUCAGCACUGGUGCUCAUAGCACCACCAAAACCAGUACUGGUGUUGAGCACACUGCCAAAGCUGGCACUGGUGUUGAGAGCACCACCAAAGCCAGCACCAGUGCUGGGAGAGCCAUCAAAGCAGAUGCUGGUACUUAGUGUACCACCAAAAUUGGCACUGGUGCUGGAAGAGCCACCAAAGGAGACACUGGUGCUAAGUGUGCCUCCAAAGCCAGUGCUGGUGCAGGGAGAGCCACCGAAGCAGAUACUGGUACUGAGUGUACCACCAAAGCUACCACUGGAGCUGGGAGAGCCACCAAAACAGACACUGGUGCUGAGUAUGCCUCCAAAGCCAGUGCUGGUGCUAAGCGCACUACUGAAGACUGUGCUCGUUGUGGGUGCACUGCCAAAGCUGGUGCUAGUGCUGAGUACACCACUAAAGCCAGCCGUGGUGCUGAGUGUGCCUCCAAAGCCAGAGCUGGCUCCACCACUGAAAGUGGCACUGGUGCUGAGUGGGCCACUAAAACUAGAGCUGACUCCACCACUAAAGCUGGCACUGGUACAAGGCAUGCCACCAAAGCUAAUGCUGGCUUCACUGCUGAAACUAGUGCUGGUGCUGUGUGCACAACCAAAGCUAAUGCUGGCUGCGCUGCUGAAGCUGGAGCUAGUGCUCAGUGUACCACCAAAGCUAAUGCUGGCUGUAUUGCUGAAGCUGGCACUGGUGCUGGGUGCAACACCAAAGGUAAUGCCAGGUCCACCACUGAAGCCACCACUGGAGCUGGGUGCACCAUUGAAGCUAAUACUAGCACCAUCGCUGAAGCCAGCCCUGGUACUAGCUCCUCUGCUGAAGUUGACGUUGGUGCUGGCAUCUGCAUUUUCUUGGGCUCUGGCCUCAAUUUCAAAUGAAAAUCUGCUCCAGGCCUGAGCAUCAUCGCCUAACUCUUCCCUUGUUAGGCAGUCGAUAUCCAUGUCAUCCCAAUUCCAGGGCCCAGCCACAGCUUCCUCUCCAAUCCCCAUUUGGGCUCUUGCCUCAGCCCUGGCUUCAGCCUCAGCCACAGCCACAGCUGCAGCUUGGACUUCCAUCUCCACUGCCUCGCGGUACUGCACAGCCCAGUCCUUGGGGUCUUUCUUCUGCACCUGAAAUGGGGAUGAUAAUCAUAAUAAGAAAACAACCCUAGUAAUCAUGUAUUAACCUACGGGCUUUGUAUUAAACUAGUAGCAAUACUUUUUUAAACUUCUCAGUUAUUGGGGCUCUAUCAUGGGUCAGUUCUGAACUCCAGUUUCAGCUCUGCUGACUUACGUGCUAUAUGACCUUGGACAAGUUACUUAACCUCACUUAGCCUAAGUGUCUUUAUAAUUACAGGAAAUGAUAGAGCGUAAAUAUGUUAUGAACUGAAGGGUUGUGCCCGCCCCCAAAUUCGUAUGUUGAAUCCCUAACACCCAGUGUGAUUGUACUUGGAGAUAGGGCCUUUAUGGAGAUAAUUAAGGUUAAAUGAGGCCAUAAGGGUGGGGUCCUGAUCAACAGGAUUAGUGUCCUUAUAAGAAGAGACACCAGAAAGCUUGCUCUCUUCUCUCUCACACACAAAGCCAUGUGAGGACACAGCAAGAAGGCAGCCAUCUGCAAGCCAGGAAGAGAGCCUUCAACAGGAACUGACCCUCGUGGACCCUGACCUAGGAUUCUCGCCCUCAAGAACUAUGAGAAAAUAAAUU
Molecule: long non-coding RNA, 1918 nt
Filed under: Homo sapiens (human)
Lineage: Eukaryota; Metazoa; Chordata; Mammalia; Primates; Hominidae
Description: non-protein coding lnc-PFKFB1-1:1
Source: RNAcentral